GGUCGUAACCUCAUCCGAAUUUGAGAAUUUAGGAAAACUCAUAAAAUGAAAGUUGUAGAUAAUUGAAAUACCUUUCCAACCAUAUAUUAUGGGCUUAUAGGUGACAUCUGGAUAAGGAGAUAUGGACGAUGCAAGUUGGGCUGGCAGAACAGCAACUUGAGACCCAACCCAAGCAUUUACAUUUCGGCCCAUGAGUAUAUUUUGACCCAUGAGGCCCAUUAAUGUUAACAUAUCUGGAAAAUUCAGUAAAUUGCUGAUCAUUUUACAUCUAGGAACUUCCAAAAUAUUAGAGAAAGAGAGAGAAGAGAGUAGAGACAAAAAAACCAAGAUUUGACCAAAAUCGGAGCCCCGAAUUCCGAAGCUCGUGAAGAGAAAAGUGUUGUGCGUUGCAUUGCCUUCAUUUUGAGCCAAAAAUUAUCUAAGAAGGAGAGUGGUGACUUGGUUGCUGCAUACUUAAGGUAUAUAUGCUCUUGUACAAGCUAAGAGGAAUUUUUUUGACGAAGUGGACUUUGGUCGGUCUAUGGCGUAGAUGAUUUGAACUCCUCGAGUUGUGGUAGAACUUGUUAUGUGGUAAAACGUCAAGGUAAUGCGCGAGAUGAGGUAUGAAGAUGGCCAAUGGAGUAGACUUUUUGGGAGCCCAUGUGAAGAUCACAUCUGCAUAUGCAUCUAGUUUUUGUAAAUUUUCGGGGACUUGUACAUGAUACAUGUGUGGCACUUAUGUA
Lycium barbarum (goji berry) is the source of this 722-nucleotide long non-coding RNA. RefSeq lists it as uncharacterized. NCBI's taxonomy places the organism in Eukaryota, Viridiplantae, Streptophyta, Magnoliopsida, Solanales, Solanaceae. The record is from RefSeq and is a predicted model, not a curated record. The transcript is spliced from 3 exons.